UGGGGAAUAUUGCACAAUGGGCGCAAGCCUGAUGCAGCCAUGCCGCGUGUAUGAAGAAGGCCUUCGGGUUGUAAAGAACUUUCAGCGGGGAGGAAGGCGAUAAGGUUAAUAACCUUGUCGAUUGACGUUACCCGCAGAAGAAGCACCGGCUAACUCCGUGCCAGCAGCCGCGGUAAUACGGAGGGUGCAAGCGUUAAUCGGAAUUACUGGGCGUAAAGCGCACGCAGGCGGUCUGUCAAGUCGGAUGUGAAAUCCCCGGGCUCAACCUGGGAACUGCAUUCGAAACUGGCAGGCUAGAGUCUUGUAGAGGGGGGUAGAAUUCCAGGUGUAGCGGUGAAAUGCGUAGAGAUCUGGAGGAAUACCGGUGGCGAAGGCGGCCCCCUGGACAAAGACUGACGCUCAGGUGCGAAAGCGUGGGGAGCAAACA
This 427-nucleotide ribosomal RNA is filed under the name uncultured bacterium. Its description in RNAcentral is "partial 16S ribosomal RNA". It matches the Rfam family "Bacterial small subunit ribosomal RNA", at positions 355 to 774 of the family's 1533-position model. The record is from RNAcentral.